Molecule: long non-coding RNA, 583 nt
Filed under: Gossypium raimondii (Peruvian cotton)
Lineage: Eukaryota; Viridiplantae; Streptophyta; Magnoliopsida; Malvales; Malvaceae
Description: long non-coding RNA (GRAI_LNC005623)
Source: RNAcentral
UAUUUUUAAGUAUAUAAUAUUAUAUAUCCAAUAAAAAAUUAAAAUCUAAAUACAAUACAAAUAUUAAUAACUUUCAACUGUAAAAGUUUAAAAGAACUUAAAUGAAAAUUAUAUAAAAAAAACUUAAUAGAAAUAAGCAUACUGGAAAACUAAAAUAACAUUAAAUAUCAAAAUUUUAUUAAAUUAUUGUAAUAGACCAUUUUUGCCCGGGCCCAAUAAAAAAACCAAAAAAAUAAAUAAAUUAAUAGUCUCAGUCCACUCACAACAGGCCCAAAUAGCCCAAACCCAAAAUAAAAAAACCCUAGGCGGCCAGAUAAGCCCAAAAACUUAAACAAUGUCACCCUCUUCAGCCGCCAGCCUCCUCACACGCGCCAGCACCGCUGCAUGCCAUCACCACGCUCGUCUGACACCUGCAAAAAUUGAAUGCAACAACAAAAAAGGCAUGCCAAGCAAUAAAAACAACAGAGAAAAAGACAAAAAAAAAAUAGAAAACAAACAGUUUGUAAUGGUCUAUAAAAACAACAAUAGGCACUUUGUAUUUUCUUCUUCUACGGAUAUACAAUAAAAAAUCAAAACAGAAACA